CGUCCGAUGAUGAACCUCAAUGCUGUUCACAUCCUGACACGCCGUGACGAGCGCUGUCGAGCUGAGGACG
Molecule: small nucleolar RNA, 70 nt
Filed under: Gallus gallus (chicken)
Lineage: Eukaryota; Metazoa; Chordata; Aves; Galliformes; Phasianidae
Description: GGN37 snoRNA
Source: RNAcentral